CACGGGGGUUGCGAGCGUUGUCCGGAAUUACUAGGCGUAAAGGGCAGGUAGGCGGAUCUACGAGUUUUUUGUUAAAGGCUACGGCUUAACUGUAGUAAGGCAGGAGAUACUGUAGGUCUGGAAUGCGGUAGGGGAAGACAGAAUUCCUGGUGUAGCGGUGGAAUGCGCAGAGAUCAGGAGGAAUACCGAAGGCGAAGGCAGUCUUCUAGGCCGUAAUUGACGCUUAACUGCGAAGGUGUGGGGAUCAAACAGGAUUAGAUACC
This 263-nucleotide ribosomal RNA is filed under the name uncultured bacterium. RNAcentral's name for it is "partial 16S ribosomal RNA". It matches the Rfam family "Bacterial small subunit ribosomal RNA", at positions 524 to 786 of the family's 1533-position model. The record is from RNAcentral.